UAUCUCUCCGUACGGAAAAGGAUGAGAAGCUUCGACUAAGGUUCGAUUCGAGCGCAGCGAGAAAGCGUUGCCGCAGGCAACGACCCGAAGGGCGAAGCGCGCAGCGCUGAGUCAUCCUUCCCCCACCACCA
Molecule: small RNA, 131 nt
Filed under: Salmonella enterica
Lineage: Bacteria; Pseudomonadati; Pseudomonadota; Gammaproteobacteria; Enterobacterales; Enterobacteriaceae
Also listed under: 1 other name
Description: RtT sRNA
Rfam family: RtT RNA
About the family: This family represents a bacterial cis-regulatory element known as RtT RNA. The exact function of RtT is unknown although it is thought that it may be involved in changing the cellular response in relation to amino acid starvation.
Source: RNAcentral